AGUCGUGCACCCGCGUCCACUGGCGCGCGCCCGCCCGGCGGGGACUUGGGAGACUCCGCCGCCGACGCCGCCGCCACAACUUGGCCCAUUUAAACGGCCCCGGCGCGGCGGGCGGCGCGGGCUCCCGCGGGGGGUGCGUGACGGCCGACUCGGGGCAUCCGGCGGCGGCAGCGGGACAGGGCUGCGGCCCCCGGCGCUAUCCCGAGUACCGAGUCACUGCGAGCGGCUGGAAUCCAGGACUCCGCGCGGGACUGGGAUGGGCUGGGCUGGUCGCGGACCGGGCUCCUCUCGGAGGGAGGGAGCUGGGGGCUGCUCGCCGGGGUGUGAGCGUGCGCCGGCGGCUCUGGGACUUUGCACAGCGAAUCUGAUGGUGGGCGUUGGUGUCCGGGAGGGCGUGGGUGGUCUCAGUGCACCUGCAGGGAGCGAGGUUGUGGAUUUGUAGUGUGUUGCCUGGACAAAGUGUUCUGUGAAUAACAGGGCAGCACCUCCCCGCCCACUCGUGCCGCUUCCUAUGCACUUCACAGGAGUGAGUUCGCCCGAGCCACGGAGUUCCUGUUUAGUCUUUUGCAGAUGACGCUGAGACAGAAAGGUCAAGUAACUCUCCUGAAGUCACACAGCUGUUUCAAAUGCAGGAUAUCUCACACCAGGACCGCGCCAGGGCCAUGGUGUGGGGCAAGAGCUUCCUGUCACCCCACACCUCCCAGCAGGAAGGUGGUGUGGAUCCGAGGCAGGGACAGUCUGGGCCCCAGUCCCUGGUUCCUGGUGAGCUUCCUGUCACCCCACACCUCCCUGCGUACCCAGAUCGGCAUUGCAUCUGGAGGGUUCCGAAGAGAAACACAACCUGGGGGCGUUGGUAACAGCAGGACACCAGCACAUCCCUGACCCCAGCUGUGGCUGCCAGUGAGUUCCUGUGCCUUCCUCUCCUGAAGUCUGUGUCUUCUCCCAGGUCUGAUACCAUGUGGAAAGUCUGCUCCUGGGCCAGCUGGAGGCCAUGUGGACUGGCCCUGAGUGCCCACUGUCUGGCUGCGUCCCUGACCCUACUGCCCGUGUGUGGGCUACUAGGUUCACCUGCACCUGACCCUCCUUCUAGGUUCACCUGCACCUGACUCCCUGAUGCUCACACAGUGACUUGGGGAGGGAGGCUGGGGAGGCGCAGGUCUGCAUGGCAGUGCCUCUCUGGGUCUGAGGCCCUUGGGCCAGGCCUCUCCUCUGACCUGGGCCAGCAGAGGGGCCUCCUUUCCCUUCCAAGAGCCCUCCCCUGUUCACCAGCAUCUCGUCAUGCUCAGGCCCACGGUGUGGUUAAGGAGGGGCAUGGGGCUGGCCCUGGGUUUCUGGCUGGGUGUGGGGGCCUACACGGGGCCCAUGGUGUCUUCCAGAAAAGACCCUGACUGGGUCCAAAGCUGGAGGCACCCCUCUAUCCUCACUGUCCACUCCCUGAUGUUCUGGAGGUCCCUCCAGGGGCUGGGUGAGGAGGCCUUCCCCACCACCUCCUUGUCUUCCUGGGAAGCAGGCACCUGUUCGGAGGCCACUUUCCCACAGGAGCAGGCUCCUCACCUCCAGCAUCACCCUUUGCCGCGGGGUUGUGCCCCUUCCUUGGUCCUGUCCACUCACACACUCAUAUCCUGUGUCCACUCACACACACCCGUGUCCGUGUCCAUGUUCACACCUGUUCUGUGUCCACUCCCACACACCUGUGUCCACUCCCACACCUGUAUCUCAUGUCCACUCGCUCACACCUGUACUGUCCGUGCCCACUCACACGUGUCCUGUAUCCACUCGCUCACACCCGUGUCUCAUGCCCGCUGGCUUACACCAGUCCCGUGUUCACUUGCGCCCCUGUGUCCCAUGUCUUGUGUCUGCUCGCACAUCUGUGUGAU
This is a long non-coding RNA of Gorilla gorilla gorilla (western lowland gorilla), 1877 nucleotides long. RefSeq lists it as uncharacterized. The transcript is spliced from 3 exons. The record is from RefSeq and is a predicted model, not a curated record. Lineage: Eukaryota; Metazoa; Chordata; Mammalia; Primates; Hominidae.